This 492-nucleotide ribosomal RNA is filed under the name uncultured bacterium. RNAcentral describes it as "partial 16S ribosomal RNA". It matches the Rfam family "Bacterial small subunit ribosomal RNA", at positions 29 to 507 of the family's 1533-position model. The record is from RNAcentral.
AGUGAACGCUGGCGGUAGGCCUAACACAUGCAAGUCGAACGGCAGCACAGUAAGAGCUUGCUCUUACGGGUGGCGAGUGGCGGACGGGUGAGGAAUACAUCGGAAUCUACUUUUUCGUGGGGGAUAACGUAGGGAAACUUACGCUAAUACCGCAUACGACCUACGGGUGAAAGCAGGGGAUCUUCGGACCUUGCGCGAUUGUAUGAGCCGAUGUCGGAUUAGCUAGUUGGCGGGGUAAAGGCCCACCAAGGCGACGAUCCGUAGCUGGUCUGAGAGGAUGAUCAGCCACACUGGAACUGAGACACGGUCCAGACUCCUACGGGAGGCAGCAGUGGGGAAUAUUGGACAAUGGGCGCAAGCCUGAUCCAGCCAUACCGCGUGGGUGAAGAAGGACUUCGGGUUGUAAAGCCCUUUUGUUGGGAAAGAAAAGCAGCAGGUUAAUACCCCGCUGUUCUGACGGUACCCAAAGAAUAAGCACCGGCUAACUUCGUG